Penaeus monodon (black tiger shrimp) is the source of this 1034-nucleotide long non-coding RNA. RefSeq lists it as uncharacterized. The transcript has 3 exons. The record is from RefSeq and is a predicted model, not a curated record. Lineage: Eukaryota; Metazoa; Arthropoda; Malacostraca; Decapoda; Penaeidae.
AGAAAACGGGGGUUGGAGUCGUUUUUUUUUUUUUUUUUUUUUUUUUUUUUUUAAGGGAAAGGGGGGUGUUUAACAAAAAGAUUUAUGCGUGCGAGUUUCCUGUGUCUUUGUGGGUAGGAAUUUGAAGUUUGGAAUGCCAAGUGUUUGCGUUUGGUUGUGCAUGUGUCGCCGCGAAUGAUCCAGGCGUCAAGGGCGCCACUGACCUGGCCAUGAAUAUAAUUGAAGGUGAACGUCAAAGGAAUCUUCAGCAGUGAGAUCCUACCAAGUAAGUCGAUUUAUGGCCGUCUAUUACCGAAGAUGACGCUGCAUAAUUUCCGAUUGCAUGUCUUGUCUGGUUGAUCAAAUGAGACUGAGUUAUAUCAAGCGCAAGAUAAUGGUGGGGAGGGGGGGACAUUGUCAACCACGAAAUAAAGUAAUGAAAUGAUCACAGACACCCUGAAAAAUCCCGAAAUGGCAACUGCCCGGUAACUUCCUCACGCUCAUUCUUCGCUGCCCGUUCAGUUUACCUCUAAGACGCGGAGGUGAGGUAUAUCGUCUCCCGCCGCGCCAUGUGUGAAUAAGCCUCCCGCAGUCGAUGCCAAUACCAAACACCUUUCAAGAAACUCCAAAGAAACCAAAGACCAGGUAUUUUGGCUCACUACCUGAUGGACUCGCGAGGCAUUGACAUCACCCACCAGAAGCGGGAGUUGCGGCAAGUAAUUACCUGUCGUGUUGUGAGCCCCCAUCGCUCGGUCGUCGCGCGCCCUCGGGACAAACAGGGACACCAGCUGGACACGCAAGCCACACGCCAAGCCUACUGUCAACGUACAGAUGGUGCGGGUUGAGGAGACCGAUGGAAGAGAGAGUGUUGAAGAACUCGGGAGAGUUUUUGGAUCGAAGGGUAACCGUAUAAGGAGAAAAUUGAGUUGGUGUUUCUGUCAUUUAUUUUUCGCCCGCGGCCAUCUCUCUGGUUCAGCUGUGUCGACUACAAUUUGCCGUCCACUUAUCCCCCCGCACUGAACAGUUGCCACGUGGUACUGAGAAAAAAAAAAGAG